AGAAUCAACGCUGGCGGCGUGCCUAACACAUGCAAGUCGAACGAGAAAGGGGAGCAAUCCCUGAGUACAGUGGCGACCGGGUGAGUAACACGUGACUACCUACCCUUGAGUGGGGGAUAACCUCGGGAAACCGAGGCUAAUACCGCAUAAUAUCGCAAGAUCAAAGGAGAAAUCCGCUUUUGGAGGGGGUCGCGGCUGAUUAGCUAGUUGGUAGGGUAAUGGCCUACCAAGGCGAAGAUCGGUAUCCGGCCUGAGAGGGCGCACGGACACACUGGAACUGAAACACGGUCCAGACUCCUACGGGAGGCAGCAGUGGGGAAUUUGCGCAAUGGGGGAAACCCUGACGCAGCAACGCCGCGUGGAGGAUGAAGCUCCUUGGAGUGUAAACUCCUUUCGACCGGGAAAAUAAUGAUGGUACCGGUGGAAGAAGCACCGGCUAACUCUGCGCCAGCAGCCG
RNAcentral lists this ribosomal RNA (457 nucleotides) under uncultured bacterium. Its description in RNAcentral is "SSU rRNA". It matches the Rfam family "Bacterial small subunit ribosomal RNA", at positions 26 to 517 of the family's 1533-position model. The record is from RNAcentral.